Long non-coding RNA from Meleagris gallopavo (turkey), 2089 nucleotides. The record is from Ensembl. NCBI's taxonomy places the organism in Eukaryota, Metazoa, Chordata, Aves, Galliformes, Phasianidae.
CUGAUUGAAAAUUCUAAUCACAGCCUUGCAGUCCUUCAGAUCACAACCCUUGACAGUUGAUUCACUCCUUUUCAUGCCUGCUGCCUCUCGCUGCUUCUGGUGCCUCUUAUGCAUGAGUCUAUCAUUAGCGCACAAAGCAUGAUGGAUUGGUUGGGGUACCUCUAUCCUUAGAACCUGGGAAAUGCUUCUCUUUCAGAAUCAAAGAACCUGUGUGUGACAUCGUCAUGAAUGAGAGAAGAAAGUAAUACAGUAUUGGAUGUGCCUGUUUGCUGCCACUAUUUAGAGAGAAAAUGAUGCAUUAUGGGGAAUCACUCGAAGGGUCUGAAUGAGAUGAACUGUUUGGGUUAUAGUAUCUGAAAGGCUCAAUUAUUCUCUUGGAGACAUAUUCUAAAUGAGCCUGACCGAGAUACUGGAUCUGUGUGAAGAGGACUAAGGAUAUAGGAUGUCAACUGAGACAGAACUUCAAGUGGCUGUUAAAACCAGCACAAAGAAAGACUCCAAAAAGAAAGAUCAUAAUAACAGAAUGCUGUGCACAAAAUCUGAUUCUAGCCCUCACAUGGAAAACCUGAGAAUUACCUUUGCUGCUGAGGAAAAGCACAAAAUACAUUCUGUGGCAGCAAUCAGAGCUCCCUGCUGCAUGCAGAAGUGUCUAGAAGGGACAGUUUGCAGCAGUGCAUCACCAGAAAUGAUCACGCUCAGUGCUGUGGGCACGUCUGCUCACAUCCAGCCCUCUGGAAGCCUCGCUGUACGUGGAGUGCUUCGGACAGAUGAGGUGUUCAGUUCUGACAGCGUUUGCUGUUCCAAUCGCAUGCAGUGAAAAGUCAAAAGAAACUUGGUAUGUUCAUUUGUUUGUUGCUGGGUUGUGUGUGUUUGUGUAUAGUUCAACAAAUGAGCUCUCUGUAAAGUGUGAAUGAUGGAUGUGUGGCAAGCAGGAGGCUUCUUUCCCGAGUUCAUUACUGCAAGCAGCAGCAGGUAGCAAGCACUGGCAUGAGGUUUCUUGUGUCUCUCAUCAGUGACUUUGAUUAUUCAACAGAGCUGAGUACUCCCAAGAAAUUGCUCUCUGCUUUAUAAACAGAAGUUUCAGCUCUGAUGUAUUUUCAGUGGAUCAGGUUUUGUACUUCUGCAAGAGCCGUACAGCUAAUUCUGUUCAACAGGUGGGAGGGAGGAUCUUCCUACCCUUCAUUUCUGCCUAUCUGGAGGUUCUCCUGCCAGCUGCAGUAACAGCACUGCACUGAGACAGAGCAGUGAGUUUCAUAAGAGUUUCCUUGUGGAAUGACUCCUACAGGUGUAUCCUGUGCUGAAGAUCUGUGCUGCAGAUGGGGCGUGUGGCACUAAUGCUCCUGCAUGGAUAUGGAUUUUAUGGGAUCUUACUUUCAGAACAAAGGUCUCUUUCUGGAGUUAUAUGCAAAGCAAUUCUCUUACAAGUGAUUAUUUAAAACAUUUCUCAUUUGACGUGAUGUUUUUUACAGCCAUAGGUCUUAAAAUCCUUCCUGCAAGUCUCUGGUCUUUCUGUUAUCAUCAGAGCUGGUUUGUAAGGCAGUUUUCUGCUCUAUUAGUAAGAGAAUUCCUAGAGUUAGGACAAAAACUGACAUGCGAAAUCAUCUCGGAAGCUGCUCUUUAAGUAAAAUCCAGCUGUAAAACUCCAGUGUUCUAUAGAGAAGUUCAAUACUAACAGAUAACAUCAAACUGUAAUUUUUCAAUCAUAGUAUUAUCACCAUGGGUAAUCUUAAAAAUAGGUUGUUGAAAGCCAAGUCCUUAUUUUGCCUUAUAUUGACCUGACUGAUGAAUAAAUGCUCCAGAAUUUGAUGGGCACUGGCAAAGAUAGUUGCUCGUGUUCUCAGCACACAGCAGGAAUUUAACUGACUGGAAGGUGUUGCUUUUUGCUCCGUGUAUUGUCAAGGUGUUGAGCAGCUGGGGACCCAUGUUUUGCUGUGACCUGCACAGCCCUCCUUCCUACACUUCACUCCAUCUUAUGAGCUUACAGUGCACUCGAUGUUAUUAGAGGAGAUUAUAUUGCUGCCAACCCCAACCUCCAGCACUAAUCUUCGUGCCACUCUCGCCUGAUAUCUGCUGGUAGCUGUGUUGUAAC